This 1173-nucleotide ribosomal RNA is filed under the name Triticum aestivum (bread wheat). Its description in RNAcentral is "partial small subunit ribosomal RNA". Lineage: Eukaryota; Viridiplantae; Streptophyta; Magnoliopsida; Poales; Poaceae. The record is from RNAcentral.
AUGGAUAAACUGUUGUAUGUUCAAAAAGGCAAGGAAAAACCAGCAAGGGUUAUGAUUGGUGAAGGGACACACUGGUCAUGGCGCACGAGACAGUAUCGUCAGUGCAACAUUGCUCCGGAUGUGGUGGACCAAAAAGAUCGGGAGAUAUGUCAAUUCUGUGGUCUUAGAAAUGGAGCGCAGAUGGAGCUGAGGCGGGCGAUUGCCAACAAGACCCCUGGAGGCCAGUGUCACUUGAAGCUGGAUUAUGAGUCCCUGAUAAGGAGUUAUCUUGAGCUUCAUGGCCUGCCAGAGUAUGCUGACGAGAAACAGAAAAACGAGAUGGAGAAGGAAAUCAUUGAGAAGGAUAAGGACAGGUAUCACAGGGAAGAUGGGGCUUGUUGGUGUUUGAAGAACCUUGGGAUCAGAGCCUUCGUUGGAAACACUCCGUAUGUUCAUAGGUUAGGGAUUGAUGAUUACCACCUCUAUCCUAGGAUGCCAGCUGAGGAUGUGUGGACAUAUGUGGAAGAAGGGAGAGCUGUUAUGUGUAAGGUGCUUUGCGGGCAAGAAUUCUAUGAGCUCAAGGCUGAUGAAAUUUAUGCAUGGAUUCCGCAAUAUGAUGGGGAAAAGAAGCAGUUUGUGGAGAUGCCUGAGAAGCACCAGGUAGUGCUAAUAGGCAAUGGAAACGCUGGUCCGGAACUGGAGUUUGAACAGUACCACCCAUUUUGCAAUUCUCAUGGCAUAGAAUUUGCGAACGGGGGUGACGGCUGUGUAUUCUUCGAGGGCUUGUUGGAAUUUUGUCUGGUGGAGAUAAAGGCGGAGCCGAAACACAUCACGACUCGUUUGGCAGAGAUCAGUGACCGUCCACUUCCUAGGCGGCGUGCUGCAGUCCCUUCUCAGCCUCACCCUACUCAGCCCCCUUCCGACUCCUCAGUGUGGCGUCCUGCUGGCCCAUCUCCUCAAUAUCCCCCUACUCGGCCCCCUUCCGACUCCUCAUGGUGGCGUCCUGCUGCCCCAUCUCAUCAAACUCCCCCUAUCCGCCCCUCUUCUGAAAUGUCAUGGCGGCGUAUCGGUGACCCUGACCCCACUCCACCGCGCCAGGCCCCCAAUGUGUGGCUGCCCAGGCCACGUGAUCCUCCUCGCCGGGCUUCUCCUCCGCGUGACCGCAGCAAGAUCAACAAGGACAGGUGGCGAUAG